Physella acuta is the source of this 364-nucleotide long non-coding RNA. RefSeq lists it as uncharacterized. NCBI's taxonomy places the organism in Eukaryota, Metazoa, Mollusca, Gastropoda, Physidae. The record is from RefSeq and is a predicted model, not a curated record.
AGUACGAUGGACGCCGUUAUUUUAGGAUCUCACAAGACGGGAGUCACGUGGUCCUGGGUCAGCCAAUCGAUUACGACGAUCUGUAUUUCCUCAACCAAACCUACUUCAUUUUAAACCUAACGGCCACUGACAACGGCUCGCCCGACCCCCUAACAUCCUCCACCAUACUGACCAUCCAAGUGACGGAUGCCGAUGACCAGGGUCCGUACUUCGUGUACCCUGACUGUCAGAGACUGGACAACUACUGCACCACGCCCUAUUUCCAAACGGUCAUCAAGUGCGGCUACACGGGCCUGCUGAGAAUUUACCCCGCCCCUAUACUGGCAGAAGACAGAGACACGAUGAACUACUCCAUCAGCUACAG